RNAcentral lists this ribosomal RNA (415 nucleotides) under Cantharellus cibarius (golden chanterelle). RNAcentral describes it as "SSU rRNA". It matches the Rfam family "Bacterial small subunit ribosomal RNA", at positions 462 to 931 of the family's 1533-position model. RNAcentral also lists the same sequence under 2 other names. Lineage: Eukaryota; Fungi; Basidiomycota; Agaricomycetes; Cantharellales; Hydnaceae. The record is from RNAcentral.
AAGUUUAAAGACGAAUCUAACUAACAGUGUCGUCCAAAUUCUGGUGCCAGAAGACUCGGUAAUACCAGAGACGCGAACGUUAAUCAUCUUGAAUGGGCAUAAAGGGUUUGUAGGCGGCUUAUUUAUUAAUAGGCUAGAAUCUUAUAGAGGUUAAUAAAAUACUUAGAGGAGGGCUGAUAUCCUUAGAUCCUAAGUGGAAUCCUAAUUGCGAAGGCCAUUUUCCACUACAGAUUGACGCUGAUACACGAAGGUUAGGAUAGGAACUAGGAUUAGAGACCCUAUUACCCCUAACUGUAAACGAUGAAUGGAAGAUAUUUACAACUGUAAGUGUCGAAGUGAAUACGAUAACCAUUCCGCCUUGCCAGUAUACUUGCAAAAGUGAAAACAAAAAAAUUAGUCGGUCCUAAAGCAAACG